RNAcentral lists this ribosomal RNA (407 nucleotides) under uncultured bacterium. Its description in RNAcentral is "partial 16S ribosomal RNA". It matches the Rfam family "Bacterial small subunit ribosomal RNA", at positions 28 to 526 of the family's 1533-position model. The record is from RNAcentral.
GACGAACGCUGGCGGCGUGCUUAACACAUGCAAGUCGAACGAAGUGGCGAACGGGUUAGUAAUGCCUAGGAAUCUCCCUGGUAGUGGGGGAUAACGUCCGGAAACGGGCUCUAAUACCGCAUACUAUCAGAUGAGCCUAGGUCGGAUUAGCUAGUUGGUGGGGUAAAGGACUACCAAGGCGACGAACCGUAACUGGUCUGAGAGGAUGAUCAGUCACACUGGAACUGAGACACGGUCCAGACUCCUACGGGAGGCAGCAGUGGGGAAUAUUGGGCAAUGGGCGAAAGCCUGAUCCAGCAAUGCCGCGUGUGUGAAGAAGGUCUUCGGAUUGUAAAGCACUGUAAGUUGGGAGGCGUUACCAGCAGAAUAAGCACCGGCUAACUUCGUGCCAGCAGCCGCGGUAAUUC